This 438-nucleotide ribosomal RNA is filed under the name Acinetobacter sp. oral taxon C51. RNAcentral's name for it is "bacterial SSU rRNA". It matches the Rfam family "Bacterial small subunit ribosomal RNA", at positions 30 to 474 of the family's 1533-position model. The record is from RNAcentral. Lineage: Bacteria; Pseudomonadati; Pseudomonadota; Gammaproteobacteria; Moraxellales; Moraxellaceae.
AUUGAACGCUGGCGGCAGGCUUAACACAUGCAAGUCGAGCGGAGCGAGGGUGCUUGCACCUUAGCUUAGCGGCGGACGGGUGAGUAAUGCUUAGGAAUCUGCCUAUUAGUGGGGGACAACAUUCCGAAAGGGAUGCUAAUACCGCAUACGCCCUACGGGGGAAAGCAGGGGAUCUUCGGACCUUGCGCUAAUAGAUGAGCCUAAGUCGGAUUAGCUAGUUGGUGGGGUAAAGGCCUACCAAGGCGACGAUCUGUAGCGGGUCUGAGAGGAUGAUCCGCCACACUGGGACUGAGACACGGCCCAGACUCCUACGGGAGGCAGCAGUGGGGAAUAUUGGACAAUGGGGGGAACCCUGAUCCAGCCAUGCCGCGUGUGUGAAGAAGGCCUUUUGGUUGUAAAGCACUUUAAGCGAGGAGGAGGCGCUCUAGGAUAAUUACC